RNAcentral lists this unclassified non-coding RNA (232 nucleotides) under Hevea brasiliensis (rubber tree). Lineage: Eukaryota; Viridiplantae; Streptophyta; Magnoliopsida; Malpighiales; Euphorbiaceae. The record is from RNAcentral.
GCCGCAAGUAUCGAGAGAACAGUGUUUGCAGUGAUCAGUGGGGGCUCUUUCAAUGGAUCAACAGUACUCACAAAUAUAUCUACACUAGCCAAUUCAGAUGGCUUUCCUUCUUUUUCAUACCUUAGUGACAGCCGAUCAAGGUAUGUUUCUCGCUCUAUAGGGUACCAUUUUGGAAACUGAUCAAGAAUCCAUGAUACUGCAAACCAUAUUUCGCAUAUUACUGAUGUCAACC